UACGUAGGGGGCAAGCGUUGUCCGGAAUUAUUGGGCGUAAAGAGCGUGUAGGCGGUCCGGUAAGUCAGCUGUGAAAGUCCAGGGCUCAACCCUGGGAUGCCGGUCGAUACUGCCGGACUAGAGUUCGGAAGAGGCGAGUGGAAUUCCUGGUGUAGCGGUGGAAUGCGCAGAUAUCAGGAGGAACACCAAUAGCGAAGGCAGCUCGCUGGGACGUUACUGACACUGAGGCGCGAAAGCGUGGGGAGCGAACAGG
This 253-nucleotide ribosomal RNA is filed under the name uncultured bacterium. Its description in RNAcentral is "partial 16S ribosomal RNA". It matches the Rfam family "Bacterial small subunit ribosomal RNA", at positions 524 to 776 of the family's 1533-position model. The record is from RNAcentral.